RNAcentral lists this ribosomal RNA (207 nucleotides) under uncultured bacterium. Its description in RNAcentral is "partial 16S ribosomal RNA". It matches the Rfam family "Bacterial small subunit ribosomal RNA", at positions 568 to 774 of the family's 1533-position model. The record is from RNAcentral.
CACGUAGGCGGGACAGAAAGUCAGAGGUGAAAUCCCAGGGCUCAACCUUGGAACUGCCUUUGAAACUCCUGUUUUUGAGGUCGAGAGAGGUGAGUGGAAUUCCGAGUGUAGAGGUGAAAUUCGUAGAUAUUCGGAGGAACACCAGUGGCGAAGGCGGCUUACUGGACGGUAACUGACGUUGAGGCUCGAAAGCGUGGGGAGCAAACA